UAUGCUUCUCCUAAAGACUAAGCCAUGCAUGCCUUCGAAUACGAGGAAGCAAUUCUCUCUGAAUCUGCGAACGGCUCCGCAAACCAGUUGUAAACCAAAGCAAGCAUACUCGUGGCUUGCCCUUCACGGGGCAGGUUGCGGGUGAUACGGAUAACCCUGGUAAUUCUGAGGCUAAUACGAGACUAUAAUCCCUGGCGGACCGGGCAACUGGGAAGCUGGGGGGCGUGCGAUCUAUUUGCAAGACGAUACCAGGAAGGGGUGCACGCUCUGACCGCGAUAAAGACGGUUCCGGUAAACCUUCGGGCGAGCUGGUUCCGAGCGGCUCUUGCGAUGUGCUUCUGACCUAUCAACUAGAUGGCAGCGUAACGGACAUGCCAUGGUUACAACGGGUACAGAGGAUUAGGGUUCGAUCCUGGAGAGUGGGCCUGAGAGAUUGCUCAUACUUCUAAGGAAGGCAGCAGGCGCGCAACGUUCCCCUUGGGCAAUGCCCGAGGGCGUUAGGGGACAUAUGAAUGGUUGCCUUUUAGGUGGCCAAUUCAAAUGGGUCUGUUCUAAACAGCCUCUCGAGUAACAAUUAGAGGA
This 582-nucleotide ribosomal RNA is filed under the name uncultured Diderma sp. Its description in RNAcentral is "bacterial SSU rRNA". It matches the Rfam family "Eukaryotic small subunit ribosomal RNA", at positions 27 to 555 of the family's 1831-position model. The record is from RNAcentral. Lineage: Eukaryota; Evosea; Eumycetozoa; Physariida; Didymiaceae.